This 267-nucleotide unclassified non-coding RNA is filed under the name plant metagenome. RNAcentral's name for it is "partial contains small subunit ribosomal RNA, internal transcribed spacer 1, and 5.8S ribosomal RNA". The record is from RNAcentral.
UUUCCGUAGGUGAACCUGCGGAAGGAUCAUUAUCGUACAAAAGGAGGGCGGCAUGCGAGGGCUGUCUCUGAAACUACAGUCGUGAACGCCCCAGUGUUCCCUCUUGCAUAAUAAUCCAUCCCACCCGUGGUACAUCACAGCGACGGCACCCCUCAGGAUCAUCCCGGCGGGGGGCUCGCGUUUUCACACACACCCCCCUUUUAAAAGUGUAUAAGGACCACAUUUAAGCAAGCAACAAAACUUUCAACAACGGAUCUCUUGGCUCUG